Molecule: long non-coding RNA, 545 nt
Organism: Cyanistes caeruleus (blue tit)
Lineage: Eukaryota; Metazoa; Chordata; Aves; Passeriformes; Paridae
Source: RefSeq, a predicted model, not a curated record
UUUCUUCAUUGCAGGUUGCUCUGCACAGAGGAGGUAAAAUGAUUUCCUGCUGGCUCUGUAAGUCGGGAUCUCAGCAGCCUGAGGCAGGGAGUAAGUUAAUGCUGUGAUGUUCUGAUUCUGAUGCAACGCAAAGGGCAGCAGACUGCUGGGUAAUGAUGAAGGCUUCUUACGCAACAUCCUAGAUGUUACACCCCUGUGGAUGCAGAAGUAAUCACGCAAGCACAGAUCCCAAAGGUUUUUUAAAAAGGUGUCUGCAGGAAAACACAUCUUGAAUACAUCAGGAGCAUCCCAACACUCAGACUGUGCUCUUCACAUCUACAGUAAGAUUCACCUGUCUCACAUGCUGAGGUUAAUUGAAGAUUUGAACAUAAUUACUGCAUCCCAAGUGCUCCACAGCUGGUGUCCAGAAGUUGAAGGACAAAGCUAAUGGAAACCGUUCUGGCUGAAGAUAUCGGACUACCCAUCUUAUCCACAGCACCCUAGCUGCUAGAACACAGACCAUCAAUGUGUACAAGAGCAUGAGAGUCUCCAUCCUUGCAUGGAAU